GACGAACGCUGGGCGGCGUGCCUAAUACAUGCAAGUUGAGCGCUGAAGGUUGGUACUUGUACCAACGGAUGAGCAGCGAACGGGUGAGUAACGCGUGGGGAAUCUGCCUUUGAGCGGGGGACAACAUUUGGAAACGAAUGCUAAUACCGCAUAAAAACUUUAAACACAAGUUUUAAGUUUGAAAGAUGCAAUUGCAUCACUCAAAGAUGAUCCCGCGUUGUAUUAGCUAGUUGGUGAGGUAAAGGCUCACCAAGGCGAUGAUACAUAGCCGACCUGAGAGGGUGAUCGGCCACAUUGGGACUGAGACACGGCCCAAACUCCUACGGGAGGCAGCAGUAGGGAAUCUUCGGCAAUGGACGAAAGUCUGACCGAGCAACGCCGCGUGAGUGAAGAAGGUUUUCGGAUCGUAAAACUCUGUUGGCAGAGAAGAACGCUGGUGAGAGUGGA
Molecule: ribosomal RNA, 447 nt
Filed under: Lactococcus lactis
Lineage: Bacteria; Bacillati; Bacillota; Bacilli; Lactobacillales; Streptococcaceae
Description: bacterial SSU rRNA
Rfam family: Bacterial small subunit ribosomal RNA
Source: RNAcentral